GACGAACGCUGGCGGCGUGCUUAACACAUGCAAGUCGAACGGUGAAGCGCCUUCCUUUUUGGUGGGUGUGGAUGAGUGGCGAACGGGUGAGUAACACGUGAGUAACCUGCCCCCUUCUUCUGGAUAACCGCAUGAAAGUGUGGCUAAUACGGGAUAUUCUGGGUCUGUCGCAUGAUGGGUCUGGGAAAGAUAUUGUUUCGGUGGGGGAUGGGCUCGCGGCCUAUCAGCUUGUUGGUGGGGUGGUGGCCUACCAAGGCGGUGACGGGUAGCCGGCCUGAGAGGGUGGACGGUCACACUGGGACUGAGACACGGCCCGGACUCCUACGGGAGGCAGCAGUGGGGAAUAGUGCACAAUGGGCGCAAGCCUGAUGCAGCGACGCCGCGUGAGGGAUGGAGGCCUGCGGGUUGUGAACCUCUUUCGCCAGUGAAGCAGGCCUGCCUCGUUUGUGGGUGGGUUGACGGUAGCUGGAUAAGAAGCGCCGGCUAACUACGUG
Molecule: ribosomal RNA, 494 nt
Filed under: uncultured bacterium
Lineage: Bacteria
Description: partial 16S ribosomal RNA
Rfam family: Bacterial small subunit ribosomal RNA
Source: RNAcentral